This 492-nucleotide ribosomal RNA is filed under the name uncultured bacterium. RNAcentral describes it as "partial 16S ribosomal RNA". It matches the Rfam family "Bacterial small subunit ribosomal RNA", at positions 29 to 507 of the family's 1533-position model. The record is from RNAcentral.
AGUGAACGCUGGCGGUAGGCCUAACACAUGCAAGUCGAACGGCAGCACAGUACGAGCUUGCUCUUACGGGUGGCGAGUGGCGGGUGGGUGAGGAAUACAUCGGUAUCUACUUUUUCGUGGGGGAUAACGUGGGGGAACUUACGCUAAUACUGCAUACGAACUACGGGUGAAAGCAGGGGAUCUUCGGACCUCGCGCGAUUGAAUGACGCUAUGUCGGAUUAGCUAGUUGGCGGGGUAAAGGCCCACCGAGGCGAAGAUCGGUAGCUGGUCUGAGAGGAUGAUCAGUAAAAAGGGAACGGAUAAAAGGUCCAGACGACUACGGGAGGCAGCAGUGGGGAAGAUUGGACAAGGGGAGAAAGCGUGAUCCAGCCAUGCUGAGUGUGUGAAGAAGGUCUUCGGAUUGUAAAGAACUUUAAGUUGGCAGAAAGGGAAGUAAGUUAAUACCUUGCUGCUUUGACGUGAGCAACAGAAUAAGCACGGGCUAACUUCGUG